CCUACGGGGGGCAGCAGUGAGGAAUAUUGGUCAAUGGCCGGAAGGCUGAACCAGCCAUGCCGCGUGAAGGUCAGUGCCCUAUGGGCGUUAAACUUCUUUUGUGCGGGAGCAAUAAUGGUCACGUGUGGCCAGACGAGAGUACCGUACGAAUAAGCAUCGGCUAACUCCGUGCCAGCAGCCGCGGUAAUACGGGGGAUGCAAGCGUUAUCCGGAUUUAUUGGGUUUAAAGGGUGCGUAGGCUGGGAGGUAAGUCAGCGGUGAAAUGCCCCCGCUCAACGGGGUGAAGUGCCAUUGAUACUGCCUGGCUGGAAUGCGGAUGCCGUGGGAGGAAUGUGUGGUGUAGCGGUGAAAUGCAUAGAGAUCACACAGAACACCGAUUGCGAAGGCAUCUCACGAAUCCGCGAUUGACGCUGAUGCACGAAAGCGUGGGUAUCAAACAGGAUUAGAUACCCUUGUAGUC
Molecule: ribosomal RNA, 460 nt
Filed under: uncultured bacterium
Lineage: Bacteria
Description: partial 16S ribosomal RNA
Rfam family: Bacterial small subunit ribosomal RNA
Source: RNAcentral